Molecule: RNA transcript, 5211 nt
Organism: Phlebotomus papatasi
Lineage: Eukaryota; Metazoa; Arthropoda; Insecta; Diptera; Psychodidae
Exons: 5
Source: RefSeq, a predicted model, not a curated record
CCUGUUUGAACAACGUUCAGCAAACGUGUUCGGAACAGGGUUCGGUCCAAUGUAAAUCCUUACGGGCUGGGAAAAAGCGAACGCGGUUGAAGCAAUAGUUCUCUUGGAUGGCCACCACUUUCUGAACAUUUGGGAGGCCGCCACCGUCACGAAAAGUCAAACAGGGAACUCUAUAGUUGCUGGGUUGUAGGGGCCGGACGUCUCUUGACAUCCACACAGCCCGUCACUUGUAUUCACCACACGUACGAAUAUUCACCACAUUUUUUUAAAUAUCCGACAGCCUUACAUAAAAUAGAAGAAGAAGAAGAACAUUAAUCUAUAAACGGUGUUUUCUGUGCCAUAACUAUAAAAUUUAUAUCCAUUUUUAACAGUGGCGUUGGUGGCAUUCUUUUCAAUUAGAAAUAAAAGCAUUUUGAACUUGUGAAAAAUAAGUGUGACUCUUUUUUCAACGAGUUUAUUCACUUAAAAUGCAAUGGAAAAAUAUAAAUUACUUUCAUCUGUGGAUCCGACGAAAUUUCCUGUAGUUGUAAAGAAAAAAUUCUCCAAGCUUACUUUGGGUAAUAGAUCAUCAAACCAUCAGGUAUCUUCAAUGUCAAAAUUCACGCAAAGGAUUUCAUAUCCCCCUGAAGAAAUUGACAAUGAACAUAAGUCAUUUUUUUUAACUGAUGAAGGUGAAACUGACAAAUAUACACUGCCGGAUAGUCCGAAUGGAGUACAUUGUUCUGGUUUGGACUCUCAAAUAUCCAGACAGGGAACUAUGUCACAUGAAAACCCUGAAAAGGAGUCGAAAGAUUAUAUAGGAUACGUGAAGAAAAUUGAAUCGGGCUUAAGAGAUCUUGGAAUUCCACCGCACAAAUCAUUCAAUACCCAAAAUAUGCCGUCAUUGAACAUAAGUGGAAACGAUUGUUUAUCUCAAGAAUUGCGGAAACAAAUUAGAGCUAGUGAAUCUGAUGCUAGUAUUCUCACCAUAAGCAGUACAAGUAGUAAUGAAAUCGACCUAAAUCACAAAAAAAUAACACAAAGUGAUUGCUCGAAAACACCAGAAGUCAUUAUUUUGGAUGAGUCUAGUGAAAAUGAAUUGCCACUAAAAGAAUCAUUCCCUGCAGUAAGUGAAUCGACGGAAAAAAGUCUUAACAGUACUAUUCAACAAAAACUCAAUGCAUUUUUCGACAAGAUUCCUACACAGACCGAAAUUUCUCUUCACUAUAAAUCAGAUAAUUUGCUGGCUGAGAACACUUUUGAAAAUACAAAGGAAAAUUCUAUGAGUUAUGAUGAUCCUGUUAGUCUAAAUGAAACUGACAAUGAUGAAAUUAAAAGUGGACACGAAAAAUAUAUACCAAGAGAUAUUGAGCAGAAAUCACAAGUUGUGAAUAUUUCUGCCAAAAUAAAGAUCAACAUUGAAAUAGAGGAACAUGAAAUAACUUCAUCAUUUGAUGAAAGUGAUCAUCAGUAUAAUGACAAAAAUGAAGAAGAUGAUGUACCAAUAGUUAAGAAACCUAUAAUUGAACAGAAAAAUCAGGGAAAAGAUGAUCUUGGGAUUGAUCUUGAGCCUGAGGUACAAAGUAUUUUGACUGAAAUGUACGGAGAUUCUUGGAAAACCAGAGAGGUCCUAAAUUCCAUUAAAAAGCAGAAGAGAAGGGAUCCGAAUGAUACUAUUACCUCAAAAUCCUUUGGAAAUCUGGGAAAUACUCUGGAAUUGACGGGGCAUGAAAAACAAGACAAGAAAAAUGAGAUACAACAGAAAAAACCGUUAAUAAAAAAAAUUACAGAAACAAAAGAAAGUCAGCAACAAAAUAUUGCAAAAUUGCGAAACAAAAAUUUUAGAAUUUGCGAUUCAGAUAGUGAGUCUGAAUUAGAAGAUCUUGAAUCUUACAAAUCCUGGCAUAUAAGUUAUUCUGAGAAUUCCUAUUCGUCCGAUUCAUGUUCAAAUGAAAAGCGAAAAAAACACAAGAGUUUUGCAAAGAAAGUAAAUAGGAAAAUAGAAUCAGACUUUGUUCAAGAUGCUUCAAGUGAUAGUGACAACACUAUAUUCGAAAAUAAAUCUCUCAUACCAAUUUCGACGACCGUAAAUGAGAAAGAUAUAGAAUAUGCUGUUACUCCACAAAACAAAAUAUUGCAUAAUGUGGAAAAUCCUGGUCCAUCAACUAAAAGAAAGCUUUUUUCAAAAAAAUUAUAUAGUAAUAUAAACAGUGAUACACAAUUGAAUGUCGAUGAAGAUUUGUUGUCGUCGAAAAACAGUCCUAAGCUGAGUAAUAUUAAAUUAGAGGCUAUAAAGGGUGCCAUACCUUCAAAAGGGCGAAACGACUUGGAAAUGCAUGAAUUUACAAAUUCGUCAAAUAAAGCGCUUCAAUUCUUCUCACAAAGGGAUAAUAAAAAUUAUUACGGGUUUCUGAUAUCCCUCAAUGCAUCUACCCUUAAUGAUUUAUCACAUCCAGAAGCCCUACGCUUUAGAAAAAAUUUUCGUGUAAUGAAGGAAGAAUUAACUGCUGUUUUGUAUAAUCUCUACAAUGAAAAAAUAUUCAACAAUCAGUUGAAUGUGUCUAUCAAAUGGAAUAAGAAGUUGCUAACAACAGCAGGGCGAUGCACAAAUAUGUUGCGAAAUGGUGUAAGAUUGGCUGAAAUUGAUUUGAGUGAGAAGGUUCUAACAAGUGCUGAUCGUUUACGUUGCACUCUUAUUCACGAGCUUUGUCAUGCAGCGGCUUGGAUUUUGGAUAGUGAAAAGAAAGGACAUGCAGAACAUUGGAAGAAAUGGGCGAGACGCGCUAAUGAAGUUUUCUCAGAAUUACCCAAGAUCACAGUAUGUCAUCACUAUAAUAUUGAGUAUAAGUACACAUAUCAGUGCGAUGGAUGUGGAGCAAAAACCCAAAUGCAUUCAAAGACAAAAAAAGUGGAGAAUAUUCAGUGCAAAUAUUGUAAAGGUACUAUUCGAGUAUUCAUUAACAAGAGAAAGAAAGAUGGACAAGUUGUUCAAACUCCGGUAAAAGCUGCAAGUGGAUUUGCUAAGUUUGUACAACAAAAAUACAAAAUAUAUAAGACACCUCAGAUCACACAUGCUGAGACUAUGAAAAUACUUAGUCAGGAAUUCACUAAAAUGAAUUUAGAUAAAAAUCAAGAUAAAUCAUAAAUUUGCUAAAUAUGUCUAUUAUAAAUAUAAGUCUCACUUCAGAUUCUUACGUCCUGGAAAGUAUAUACAUUUGAACAUUAAAAAAAAUAAAAAUGAUUUUUUUUAAUAAUUUCGCACGGAUUUUGAAAAUUUUGUGAUGUUUGAAAAAUAUUUUUUUUUACAGAUAUCAAUUUUAUUUAAGCCAAUUUGUUUGCUUUAAAAUGGAGCGACCGAAAUAUUUUCGUGACAAUAUUGAAAUGGAAUAGUUUUUAAGUCCGAAAUACAAUUGGAAGCUUAAAAUUACAUAAUAUUGUUUGUUAUAUUAGCUAUAUGUUUAACAGAAACUCAAAGGCCUAGUCGAUUUGAGAACUUGAACAACAUUGUCACGCAAAAUUAGAUUCAUAUUUCUCUGUUUUUCUCUUGAAACUGGUUGAGAAUGCUCUCUGGCAAGAUGAUGUAAAUCUGCAUAAAAUUGCAUUCCUGGCACACCAACUGUACUGAAAGAUGCCGAAACUUCGGUACAGUCCACUACAAUGGUUUUAAGUGGUGUUACAAGGAGUGUUGACUGACUUGGCUGUGAUGAUAAAAACAAACUAUUACUUUUUAAAUUAUUCAAACAUUUUUAAUACUUUACCGGUUUUCUGUAUUCCAUUACUUCACGCAUAAGAAGUACUGCUGAUCGACUACCAGAAAGAAGAUUCCAACGGGACCAAGAAAAAUUAUGAAUCCUUCAGUAUAGCAAAAAGCAUCAGAUUCAGGAAAGAGGUCAACAGCUGUACUCUUCAUAACGGUUUUGAGUUCAUCUAACGGUAAAAUUAUACCUAAAAUAUGUGCUAGAGGUGCCGAAGAGCACCCCUGGAUGGAAUUUAGACGUACGCCAUUGUCCAAAAUAGUUAUAUCAAUGCUCACAACUGCGGCAGUAAGGGUAAAUGAAACGGCAUUUGGAAAGCGAAAGUCUGGCUUAAGUUCCCAUGUUUGAUAAGGAAGAUUACUAUAGCGAUUCGCAGCAAAGCCAAAGCAUCCAAGCCGUCCAGUACGAAAUUGUAUGGUAAGUUUAUCUUCAUUAAAUUUUACAUCGUGCACAUCUCUUGUGCUCCACUUUGAAAAUGAAUUAUCUUGUGUAUAUGAAGCAUUUAAAUCUAUGUUAUCAUCUGAAUCACUUUCUGAGUUACUUUCUUCGACGAUUUCCACCUUGUGGUCAAUUUCGUUUGAUGUGUCAUGGCACUUCAUAGAAGCUCCCAAAAAACGCAUAUCACACAGUAGAUCAUGAUGCUCUCGUAGUAGACUUACACUUGAAGUCUUUCUCACCGUAUCAGAUAUUUCCUCCUGAGGUAAUAACGUUUUCGAUGCUAUUUCCUCAAUUUUUUCAUCAAACUGAGGAUGUUGCAGCUCUGUGAGUUCAUCGAGAUCUCUGAUAAACUGUGACAGAAAGUAUUUUCCCCCGCUGGGUUCCAUCGAUAUACUCGAACGUCUGAAUUUUUGAACUACCUCUGAUUCCUCUUCAUCUGUUGAAGAUGACGAUUCAGACGCAAUAGUAGUUUUUGACCGCUUUCUACUUAAUAUUCUCAAAACUUUUUUAAAACGCACUUUUGGAUGUAGUGAUCGAGGUGAAUUUGUCGAAUGAAUUGCAGUUUCAAUUACUGGAGAAUUUUUUUGGUGAAAUUCUAUAUUUCUUUUUAUUUCACUUUCUUUAAUUACGUACUUCAUCAAGCUACUCUUUCUCUCUCCCGACAUAUUCUCUAUCAUUACACCAUAUCCAUCUGGUAGCCGUGGGACUAUGAAAUCCAGCAUUAAUGCAUGUAAGUCAAUAUAGGAUGGAAUGCACAAAAGGUUAAAGUCAGGAAUUUCUAUAACAGUAGAAUCGGGUUUGGAACCGUGUUGCUUUGGAUGAGGAUUUGUAUCUAAGUUUUGGAAAAUAUUUCCUGAUUCAUCAUUGUUGUCCUCCAAGGAAACAUCAAUAUCAUCUGGGCUUUCCCAGCGACAAACUAUUGGUGGUUCAAACCAUAAGACAUUCUCCGGCAGCCUGAAAAUAGUCCACAUAUGUGUAAUGUGACUAUAUAAUUUUACUUACGUUUGUAAUAUAAGAAAUAGAUGGGGUAUCUAAGAGA